ACAGACUCAAUUAUGUAUUUGUGUGUUUAUUUGUCCUCACACUAACUGUGUUGCUUUGUUUCUGCUUAGGCCAAUCUGCAAGUGAUGUACACUUCCAGGUGUACCUGCUGGAGGGCCUGGUGCGGUGGAACGAGAAUCGAGGCAGGGCGGCAGUCGAGGGAGGACAGAGGUCGGCGCUGCGUUGCUACAGUGCCCAGCUGCAGCACAGCUUCGACCAGCUGACCCAAGAGCUUCUUGGGCGCACACUGGUCGACAUGUACACCAUGCCCAGGGAGUACACAGGUGGAACUGCGCCACCACCGCUACGUCACUCCCAGGCAAGCCAGAGAGGUCACCGCUCUCUGGCUGAAGUUGAGUGACUGGGACAAGGCGGCGGUCAAAUUCCCCCCCCGUCACCAGGACCGGCUCGUCCAGGGCCGAUUCAGGACCAGCCAGCGGCACGCUCACACGCCAGGGGUGGCUAGUGUGAAGCGUGCGGUCCUGGGCAAGGGGGGCGGGAGCGGCGCAGUCUCCCGAUGUGUCAAGGCUUGUGGAGGCUGUCCUGCUGGACCUCAGCAUCCUCCACUGCGGCGAGGAGAGGACGAUUGCCGGGGUCCGCCUUCAUCGCUGGAGUGCCGUCAUGAGGGACUAUCAAACAAUUCGAGAGAAUGUUUAUAGUUGUGCAGCCCUCAUGACGAGCACCCGCAUCCAGCUGUAUGAGGUCAAUCAGCGGACCCUGACGCAAUGGGGACUACGACUGCACCUCCUCCUCAUCCUCCUCCAGCUCCUCUCCUCGACAGCUUCAGGCAGCAGAGCCAGUGGCGGGGACCAGCAAGCCCACCCGUUGCACUCUGUACAGGCGCAAAAUUAAAGCGGCAAAAGACAAAAAAGUCCUCCAAAGUAGCAGGGGAAAGCCACAGCACAAGCCUGGGGACCCCUGCUACAUCUGUGACCAAGCAUGCACGGUGGAUGGUGGCCACGCGUACUUCAAGGGCCAAUACUUUUGUGCUGUGAAAGAGGGCCCUGGAGGACGCACAGUGCAAGAGUGGACCAGGGAACAGCUUGGCCCUGGUAAGCUGCAUAAGCUCCCCAGAACAACAGCCUGGAACCUCAAACGGAAGUAUGAGAAACCAGAGAAACCGGGGGGGAAAGUGAGGAAGCCCCACAAACUGAGGAUCUGCCAGCUCUGUGGCCAGCCACAGCAGAA
This 1186-nucleotide long non-coding RNA is filed under the name Dicentrarchus labrax (European seabass). RNAcentral's name for it is "lncRNA (ENSDLAG00005033410.1)". The record is from RNAcentral. Lineage: Eukaryota; Metazoa; Chordata; Actinopteri; Moronidae.